UGCCAGCAGCCGCGGUAAUACGAACUGUGCGAACGUUAUUCGGAAUCACUGGGCUUAAAGGGUGCGUAGGCGGACAGGUAGGUCAGAUGUGAAAGCCCACGGCUCAACCGUGGAAUUGCGUUUGAAACCACUUGUCUUGAGGGGGUCAGAGGAGAGCGGAACUGAUGGUGGAGCGGUGAAAUGCGUUGAUAUCAUCAGGAACACCGGUGGCGAAAGCGGCUCUCUGGGACCCUUCUGACGCUGAGGCACGAAAGCUAGGGUAGCGAACGGGAUUAGAUA
RNAcentral lists this ribosomal RNA (279 nucleotides) under uncultured bacterium. Its description in RNAcentral is "partial 16S ribosomal RNA". It matches the Rfam family "Bacterial small subunit ribosomal RNA", at positions 506 to 784 of the family's 1533-position model. The record is from RNAcentral.